GCCAGCAUGGUAUAGUGGUUUGAGCAUCAGACUAUGACUCUAGGAGACCAGAGUUCAAAUCUCUGCUCAGCCA
This is a non-coding RNA of Phrynosoma platyrhinos (Desert horned lizard), 73 nucleotides long. Lineage: Eukaryota; Metazoa; Chordata; Lepidosauria; Squamata; Phrynosomatidae. The record is from the annotation of a GenBank genome assembly.